ACCGAUUUAAAUAACCUUGGCCAAUUUUAAAGUAAUACUUUUGAUUGUUACUCUGAAAGCAGUUUGUUUUUUUUUUUCUUUCUUAUUGAACAGGUACCAUUAACACAGCUAGUAGGAGACAGAAAAUAAGGAAAAUGAUAGAAAAUAGAGUAAGAGUUAUGAGUCAGCUGUUCUAGAGGUGAGGAAUAUAAACAUUGACCCACUUCCUCCUCCCCCACAAGUAAGAGAAGGAGGCAAGGUGGGAUAAGACAUCAGUUUCAGUGUGACACAGGCCAUCAGUCCAUGCUUUUUAAAAAUUUAAUCAGCUUUACUUUUUAGAGCAGCCUGAGGUUCACAGCAAAGUUGAACAGAAAGUACAGAGCGUUUCCAUAUUCCUUCUCUCACUGCCCCCCACCCUCCCCCAUUAUCUACAUCUGACAUCAGAGUGGUGUGUUGUUGACAAUCUUCCUUCACUUGGUAAAUGCAUUUAAGUUUCCUCCAUGCCUCUUCAUGGCCCGAUAGCUCAUUUCUUUUUUAGCACCAAAUAACCUUCCAUUAUUUAUCUGGCUAUUGCACAGUUUAUCCAUUUUCUUACUGAAGGACAUCUUGCUGGCUUCCAAAUUUUAGCAAUUGUGAAUAAAGCUACUGUGAACAUCCAUGUGUGAGUCUGUGGAGACAUAAAUUUUCAAUCUAUCUGGGUAAAUAUCAAGACACAUGAUUGCUGGGUCAGAUGGAUAAGAAAGAGUAUAUUUAAUUGUAUAAGAAACUGCCAAACUAUUUCUCAAGGUGAUAUAUAUAUCAUUGUUCAUCCCCAUCAGCAAUGAAUGAGAGUUUCUAUUUGUUCCAUAUUCUCACCAGCAUUUAUUUUUGUCAUUAUCAGUUUUCUGGAUUUGGGCCAUUCUAAUAGGUAUACAAUGCAUCUCGUUUUUAAUUUCAAGUACUAUUUAUUUGUAAUAGAGACCCCAUUAUAUCCUACAAGGUUUGAAAGUAGCUGACCUUCAAACCAACUCAAAAAAAAUUUUAUUAUAGUAGAUUUAUAAUGUUGUACCAAUUUCUGCUUUACAGCAAAAUGACUCAAUCAUAUAUAUCUAUAUGCAUUCUUUUUAUAUUAUUUUCUAUCAUGGUUCAUUGUUUUUAAUUUGCAUUUCCCUGAUGACAAAUGAUGUGGAACAUCUUUUCAUAUGCUUCUUUGCCAUUUAUAUAUCUUAUUUUUUCAUUUUUGAAGUUUUAUUGAAGUGUAGUUGAUGUACAGUGCUGUGAUAAUUUCUGCUGUUCAACAAAGUGAUUCGGUUAUACAUAUAUGCACAUCCAUUCUUUUUCAGAUUCUUUUCCCACAUGGUUUAUCACAGAAUGUUGAGUAGAAUUCCCUGUGCUAUACAGCACAUCCCUGUCGGCCAGUCAUUCCACAUACCAUAGUGUGCACAUGCCAGUCCUCAACCCCAGUCUGUCCCCUUUGGUAACCACAAAUUUGUUUUCAAAGUCUGUGAGUCUGUUUCUAUUCUGCAAUAAGUUCAUUUUUAUCAUUUUUUUAGAUUCCACGUAUAGUGAUACAUGAUGUUUGCCUUUCUUUCUCUGACUUACUUCACUUAGUAUGAUAAUCUCUAGGUCCAUCCAUGUUGCUACAAAUGGCAUUACUUCAUUCUUUUUAUGGCUGAGUAAUAUUCCAUUGCAUAUAUCUUCUUUGAUGAAAUAUAUUUUCAGGUCUUUGGCCCACUUUUUAAAUUGGGUUGUUUGUUUUCUUAUUGUUGAAUUUUAAGAGUUCUUUGUGUGUUUUGAAUUACAGUCCUUUAUAGGAUGUGUCUUUUGCAAAUAUUUUCUCCUGAUCUAUGACUUAUCUUGAGGUUGUCUUUUCAAUUCAUGCUUAUGGGCCAACUCAAGCAAUCCAGACAGUCACCUUGGCUAUUACUAUUUCUCUUACUUAACAUAUUUGUGAAAAUUAGAGUAAACAGAAAUAUCCUCAUGAUGAGUUUCAGUACAGCCCUAACAGGUAUGAAACAGGUCUAAGUUAUAGCACCUAUUUUCAAAAUCUUUGUCAACAUAGUACAAGUAUGAAAUGAAUUGACUUUAUUUCCUCCUGCUGCAGCAAAGAGAAAUAUAGCAUCCUCCUUUAUGCUGAUAACCUUGUCACAUUUUCUAAGAGUGACCUUAAGAAGUAGCAUGGGUCUGUUGGCAUCUUACUUCCCUAAGAAGCAACUCAGCAUAAAAUUUUGCAAAACAAAAAGUCAUUGUAAUUGGUAGACAUUCGAUUUUAAGUAUCCUAAGGCAAGAAGUCAAUUUAUUAUGCCUUUCGUAGGGAUUCAGUCACUCUCGGCCCACAAGUAGAUUUAUUCUCUUAUUCAGGCAUGCAUUUUGCUCCUAAUUCAUCUUGAUGGUUCCUGAGAAUCUAGUUCUUAAAAUGAGAUGUUUGCUAGUUUAUGUACCGAUGUUCUUUUACAGAUGAAGCCAUCAGCUAGUCUCAAAUACACACACACACACACACACACACACACAGACACACACACUAUUAUGAGCUAAAACAUAAGCAAGACUAAGCCUUUUUAUUUUAUGUUAGCUGGGGCUGAACUGUGGUGUUUCAAACAAAUAUGUGUGUUUGAAAAGGUCAGACCUCUGCUCUGGAAAAAAAAAAAGUCUUUUGACCUCUCUGCUACUCUCUGUGCACUAUUAUAAUUAAAUUUUAAUGCAUAGCAUAUUUCCAUUUUUACCUCAACUGCCAGGAAACAGAAUACCAUUCACUGUCUGUGAUAGAAACUGAUUAUUUUACUUGACAAGCCUCAAUUGCCUCUGUGUCCUUUGGAUAAUUUUUAAAUUGCUAUUUAUUAUCAGCAGUGUGCUUAAUUUUUAAUCAAUUUAAAUGAUUUUUCAAGACAUUCCAAUGCAUUCAGUAACUUCUUUCAACAGAAAUGGGUUGAGUACUGUGUAAAUUAUUGAGUUGUCUCUCAGAUUCAAACCUACCCUCUUCUUUCAGCUUUGUGAUGCUGGCUGGAGCUGGGACUGUGCAAAUCACAUUUGGUCUUGGUCAGCUGGCUCAGUGUCAGACUCCACCAACAGGGGGUGACAGAGGGAGACUGCAAGUCUUGAAGAAGAAGAAGGGCUCUUCUCCUUCCUCCAUACUUCCUAGGGGCUUCCUUUCUGCUCUGUGUUCUCAGGACUAUCACCCAAGCAAUGCUUCUUCACCCCGUAGCAGUUCUUCCUUCCCAGAACGACAGCUGGAUCCAAGGCACAGUUAGUUCUUUCAGUAUGAACAGAGCCCAUUUCAUCACCUUUCCAUCUUGCCAGCCCCAGCCCCUGCAGCAGUCUUUCUUCAAAGAUCUGGGUCCUAAGCCUGUCAGGUCAUUCCUCGGAGCUAGAGAUACCAGCCACGGAGAACCCCCUCCUCAGAGCGCUGAGUUUUAACCCUGUAAGUUCUCUCUUGUAGGUUUCUAAAUGUUUUAACAUUUCCAGCAUUUUCCUUGUUCCCUGUGCCUGAGAGGUGGUGUUUGCCUCCUGUUGUGGUUACUUCUGGAGCACUUGAGAGUUCUUUUUUUAUCUUUUGAGGUUCCCACUUAACUAGUAGUUAAUACUUCUUUAUUAAAUUCCCUCUCAUCAAAUAACUGAUGUGACUUCUGAUUCCCUAUUGACUCCUCUAAUGCAGGGGCUAACACGGAUCAAGCAUAGUUCUAAGUGCCAGGGAACACCUGUGACCCAAAUAAAUAGAUUGCCUUCAUAGAGCUGAUCUUAUACGGGUAGACAUGAAACACACAUAAGCAGGUAUUACAAUAGGUACUUUUUCAUACUAUGAAAACAAAUAAAGCCAAGUGAGGGGGAAGAGACUGACUAGGGUGGCAGGAAGGGGCUGCUGUUGUGGGAGGAUGAUAGAGAAGAAGCCUUUCUAGACAGGUGACAUUUGAGCAGAUUUAAAAGAAAUUUAGGAGAAAAUUUUAUAGCUAUGUGGAGCAAGAGUGUUUCAGGCAGAAAGACUAGGAAGUGCAAAGGUCCUGAGGGUAAUGCAUGGUUGAUAUAGUCAAGAAAUGGAGAGACCAGUGGGUUGCUAGCAAAGGGAGAAAGUGGGAAAAUGGUAGGAGAGGCAAGGAGAGAGGAGGCAGGAGGCUGGAUGACCAGGUCCCGCAGGCCCUGGGAGUCAGAGCAAGGCUUCUAACUCUUCAUGCUCAUGAAAUGGCAAGCCUCUGGAGUAUUUCAAAUAUAGGAAGCACAAGCCAGUCCUCAGUAAUCAAAACCCAUGCCAUGCCAGCCAUUUUCCCAAAAAGCACAUCAUAUAGCAAUGAACAAUGCUGGCUUAUUCUUGCCCUUAUGGUGGCUGAGGCUGACAGGAAGCGCCUAAGUCAACAUAGAAUAUGUCUGAUGAUAAAUGCUCUGAAGGAAAGUAGAACUGGGUCAAGGUAGAGGGAUUACCUGCAGGAGAAGAGCCUGAUGGGAGCAAGGCAAAGUGGGAAAGCCAGGUAGGAGGCAGUUGCAAUACUCUGGGCAGGAGCUGAUAUGGCUUGGACCAUGAUGGGGAUGAAGAUGUUUCAAAAGCGUGGUCCAAUCCUGGAUAUAUUUCCCAUGUAAGGGUGAUAGAAGUUUCUGAUGAUCUGCACAGCUUCUCAUUGCUCUUGGAAUAAAGUACAGAUCCUGAUCAUGGCUUACAAGAUUUAGCAUGGUCUCAUCUCUGCUUCCAUUUCUAACCUCCUCUUUCCACUGGCUUUCUCAUUCUGCACUGCUUUUUCACUUUACAGAACAUGUCCCAGUUCCUCCAGUGAGCCAUGCUCCCACUGGCCACUGGUCGUUUGUAUAUGCCAGUCCUCCUCAAGACUUCAGUUACCUGAAUAGCUCCUUGGCCUCCUCCUUCAAGCCAUGGCUUAUGUUUCCCCUAUUCAGAGCAGCCUUCCUGUUUUCUGGAGAUGAGGUUAGCUGUCUCUCCUAUGAGAAAACCCUAAGACUGACUUGACCUUUACAGCUAAUCAGACUUCUAGAAAGCUGUGCACAUUCUUAUUGUAAUCAAAACUCUAUUUGUGUAUCCAUAUCAUUAACUCUGUCUUGCCUUUCGAGCUCUUGGUUGAGGGAAGAGUUGAGGAAAAGUCUCUUUCGACCACAAAUGCAAAGGUAUAAUAGGACCCAAAGCAAUAGAUAUACUUGGCAGGCAUCAUACUAUCCAGUAGAUAGUUGGCAUAGACACUCCUCAAUGUGUUUGUAUUUAGAAACUUUAGGAAAUACUCUUAUGGUGCAGCAGGUUAAGGAUCUGGUAUUGUCACUGCAGCUUGGGUUGCUGCUGUGGUGUGAGUUUGAUCCCUGCCUUGGGAACUUCCAUAUGCCAUGGGUGUGACCAAAAAGUUCCCCAAAAUAAAAAAAAAA
RNAcentral lists this long non-coding RNA (5307 nucleotides) under Sus scrofa (pig). RNAcentral's name for it is "lncRNA (ENSSSCG00005037452.1)". The record is from RNAcentral. Lineage: Eukaryota; Metazoa; Chordata; Mammalia; Artiodactyla; Suidae.